RNAcentral lists this ribosomal RNA (468 nucleotides) under uncultured bacterium. RNAcentral describes it as "partial 16S ribosomal RNA". It matches the Rfam family "Bacterial small subunit ribosomal RNA", at positions 28 to 507 of the family's 1533-position model. The record is from RNAcentral.
GACGAACGCUGGCGGCGUGCUUAACACAUGCAAGUCGAACGGAAAGGCCCUGCUUUUGUGGGGUGCUCGAGUGGCGAACGGGUGAGUAACACGUGAGUAACCUGCCCUUGACUUUGGGAUAACUUCAGGAAACUGGGGCUAAUACCGGAUAGGAGCUCCUGCUGCAUGGUGGGGGUUGGAAAGUUUCGGCGGUUGGGGAUGGACUCGCGGCUUAUCAGCUUGUUGGUGAGGUAGUGGCUUACCAAGGCUUUGACGGGUAGCCGGCCUGAGAGGGUGACCGGCCACAUUGGGACUGAGAUACGGCCCAGACUCCUACGGGAGGCAGCAGUGGGGAAUAUUGCACAAUGGGCGGAAGCCUGAUGCAGCAACGCCGCGUGCGGGAUGAUGGCCUUCGGGUUGUAAACCGCUUUCGCCUGUGACGAAGCGUGAGUGACGGUAAUGGGUAAAGAAGCACCGGCUAACUACGUG